Molecule: long non-coding RNA, 569 nt
Organism: Macrobrachium nipponense
Lineage: Eukaryota; Metazoa; Arthropoda; Malacostraca; Decapoda; Palaemonidae
Exons: 2
Source: RefSeq, a predicted model, not a curated record
UGGUAGGACUAAAGGGGCGGAUACUAUUUAUGUAGCUGAAAAGAUUGCAGCCGGUCGAUUCCGUAACUGAACUUGUGAAGAAGUGUUUGUUUUGCCUUAGGUCUUUAUUAGACUUCUGUUAUGUUCCUGUUGGACUGCUGAUUUGAUCAAUAUUGGGAAUUUUCACAAGCAUGGGAGGUUUUUCUUUCAAGUCAUUUAGUUCAGGAUCUGCGGCAGUUGGUGCACGGACGGCCCCAUGGUGUUCGGCGUGGAAGUUGACAAACUUGGUAGUUAAUCCUGCAAGUUAACUAGUGCUGUAAAAGUGAAAAUUGCAGCUACGUACCCCUUGUUGCAGAAAUUUCAGAAACUGAACGACCAAUAGCUUCUAGACCAAAUCUCCAGCUCUAUUAGCAGUAAACGUUUGGAAACCAAAAAUGCUUGUGUACGUUAGGAAAAUAGUCUUCAAAUUACUAAUGAAUGUUUGAACUCUGAAAAUCUCUAUUAAAAGUUAAUUGGUUCGUGCAGAUGGUGUUUCCUAACAUUGUUACAUGGUCCAUGCUUAAGACCUAAAUAGAUUCUUAACCCCCGUC